RNAcentral lists this ribosomal RNA (471 nucleotides) under uncultured bacterium. Its description in RNAcentral is "bacterial SSU rRNA". It matches the Rfam family "Bacterial small subunit ribosomal RNA", at positions 355 to 825 of the family's 1533-position model. The record is from RNAcentral.
UUUCGAAUCAUUCACAAUGGGCGAAAGCCUGAUGGUGCGACGCCGCGUGAGGGAUGAAGGCCUUCGGGUUGUAAACCUCUGUCACCGGGGAAGAAACGCUUCAAGUUAACAGCUUGAAGCCUGACUUAACCCGGAGAGGAAGCAGUGGCUAACUCUGUGCCAGCAGCCGCGGUAAUACAGAGACUGCAAGCGUUAUUCGGAUUCACUGGGCGUAAAGGGUGCGCAGGCGGUUGGGUGUGUCAGAUGUGAAAUCCCGAGGCUUAACCUCGGAACUGCGUCUGAAACUACUCGACUAGAGUACUGGAGAGGGUAACGGAAUUCACGGUGUAGCAGUGAAAUGCGUAGAUAUCGUGAGGAACACCAGAGGCGAAGGCGGUUACCUGGACAGUUACUGACGCUCAGGCACGAAAGCAUGGGGAGCAAAAGGGAUUAGAUACCCAUGUAGUCCCUGAGCGGGCUGGCAAGGCGCAU